This 447-nucleotide ribosomal RNA is filed under the name uncultured Hyphomicrobiales bacterium. RNAcentral's name for it is "bacterial SSU rRNA". It matches the Rfam family "Bacterial small subunit ribosomal RNA", at positions 29 to 523 of the family's 1533-position model. Lineage: Bacteria; Pseudomonadati; Pseudomonadota; Alphaproteobacteria; Hyphomicrobiales. The record is from RNAcentral.
AACGAACGCUGGCGGCAGGCUUAACACAUGCAAGUCGAGCGCCCCGCAAGGGGAGCGGCAGACGGGUGAGUAACGCGUGGGAAUCUACCUUUUGCUACGGAAUAACGCAGGGAAACUUGUGCUAAUACCGUAUGUGUCCUUCGGGAGAAAGAUUUAUCGGCAAGAGAUGAGCCCGCGUUGGAUUAGCUAGUUGGUGGGGUAAAGGCCUACCAAGGCGACGAUCCAUAGCUGGUCUGAGAGGAUGAUCAGCCACAUCGGGACUGAGACACGGCCCAAACCCCUACGGGAGGCAGCAGUGGGGAAUAUUGGACAAUGGGCGCAAGCCUGAUCCAGCCAUGCCGCGUGAGUGAUGAAGGCCCUAGGGUUGUAAAGCUCUUUCACCGGAGAAGAUAAUGACGGUAUCCCGAGAAGAAGCCCCGGCUAACUUCGUGCCAGCCGCCGCGGUAA